AGUGAACGCUGGCGGUAGGCCUAACACAUGCAAGUCGAACGGCAGCACAGUAAGAGCUUGCUCUUACGGGUGUCGAGUGGCGGACGGGUGAGGAAUACAUCGGAAUCUACUUUUUCGUGGGGGAUAACGUAGGGAAACUUACGCUAAUACCGCAUACGACCUACGGGUGAAAGCAGGGGAUCUUCGGACCUUGCGCGAUUGAAUGAGCCGAUGUCGGAUUAGCUAGUUGGCGGGGUAAAGGCCCACCAAGGCGACGAUCCGUAGCUGGUCUGAGAGGAUGAUCAGCCACACUGGAACUGAGACACGGUCCAGACUCCUACGGGAGGCAGCAGUGGGGAAUAUUGGACAAAGGGCGCAAGCCUGAUCCAGCCAUACCGCGUGGGUGAAGAAGGCCUUCGGGUUGUAAAGCCCUUUUGUUGGGAAAGAAAAGCAGCAGGUUAAUACCCCGCUGUUCUGACGGUACCCAAAGAAUAAGCACCGGCUAACUUCGUG
This 492-nucleotide ribosomal RNA is filed under the name uncultured bacterium. Its description in RNAcentral is "partial 16S ribosomal RNA". It matches the Rfam family "Bacterial small subunit ribosomal RNA", at positions 29 to 507 of the family's 1533-position model. The record is from RNAcentral.